UACGGAGGGUGCGAGCGUUGUCCGGAAUCAUUGGGCGUAAAGGGUGCGUAGGCGGGUCUUUUAAGUCAGGGGUGAAAUCCUGGAGCUCAACUCCAGAACUGCCUUUGAUACUGAAGAUCUUGAGUUCGGGAGAGGUGAGUGGAACUGCGAGUGUAGAGGUGAAAUUCGUAGAUAUUCGCAAGAACACCAGUGGCGAAGGCGGCUCACUGGCCCGAUACUGACGCUGAGGCACGAAAGCGUGGGGAGCGAACAGG
RNAcentral lists this ribosomal RNA (254 nucleotides) under uncultured bacterium. RNAcentral describes it as "partial 16S ribosomal RNA". It matches the Rfam family "Bacterial small subunit ribosomal RNA", at positions 524 to 776 of the family's 1533-position model. The record is from RNAcentral.